This is a long non-coding RNA of Cannabis sativa, 720 nucleotides long. RefSeq lists it as uncharacterized. NCBI's taxonomy places the organism in Eukaryota, Viridiplantae, Streptophyta, Magnoliopsida, Rosales, Cannabaceae. The record is from RefSeq and is a predicted model, not a curated record. The transcript is spliced from 2 exons.
AUCCCAACACACAUGGCGCGUCACUAUAUCAUAACUAAAUUAAAAAAAUAAAAAAUAAAAAUACAAUUACAAUUAAUAUACUUUUAAUAAGUAAAUAAAAAUAAAAAAUAUAAUGGGUAAUAAAUGGCUUACAAAUCAAUUAUUAAAAAGCAAUUGCACUAAAAAAGACAAUUAGUCUCGUACAUCUAAGAGACAGCCAUUAACUUUAUUCCAUUAAAAAAAACCCUAGAUUUAUAUUUUUCACUUUCAUCUCUCUCAUUUUAGUUCUUCUCAGGCCACACAUCUAAGAGACAAUGCCAACCAAGGGAACGUCGGCGAGAUUGACGUUCAAGAUCAUCUCAGAGUUCGCUCACGGCAAGGGAACGUUGACGCUUUCCAAGGAUCUCUAGGUCGACUACGGCGGAGAGAUCAACCCAUGCGAUGGAUGGGUCUUCGGCGAUCGACGUCUUCAACGAAGCCGGAAGCUCAGAUCUUCACCUCGAAAAUAUUCAGACGAUGGAGGAUUUGUAUCGAUUCAGGCUCAAAACUGGUCGGUUCCAGGGUUGCAGCUAGAUAGGGACGAAGAUCAACACUAUCAAUGGAACUAAGUUAUUUAUUUUUUAUUUUUUUUUUAUCAAAUUCUCAUACCCAUAAUUCUGGGUUUACAUUGUUCUUGUAUUUUCUUUAAAACAAUUAUGUAUUCUUUUUGAAAUAUUUUAAUGUAAUUUGUUUUAGGUUUUA